Molecule: ribosomal RNA, 253 nt
Filed under: uncultured bacterium
Lineage: Bacteria
Description: partial 16S ribosomal RNA
Rfam family: Bacterial small subunit ribosomal RNA
Source: RNAcentral
UACGUAGGGUGCAAGCGUUGCCCGGAUUUAUUGGGCGUAAAGGGCGCGUAGGCGGCUCUGCACGUUUGUUGUGAAAUCGCCCGGCUCAACUGGGCGGGGUCAGCGGAUACGGCAGAGCUUGAGCAAGCUAGGGGGCAAUGGAAUUCCCGGUGUAGUGGUGGAAUGCGUAGAUAUCGGGAGGAACACCAGUGGCGAAGGCGGUUGCCUGGGGCUUUGCUGACGCUGAUGCGCGAAAGCGUGGGGAGCGAUCCGG